This 448-nucleotide ribosomal RNA is filed under the name uncultured bacterium. RNAcentral's name for it is "partial 16S ribosomal RNA". It matches the Rfam family "Bacterial small subunit ribosomal RNA", at positions 328 to 792 of the family's 1533-position model. The record is from RNAcentral.
UCACCAGACUCCUACGGGAGGCAGCAGUGGGGAAUAUUGCACAAUGGGGGAAACCCUGAUGCAGCGACGCCGCGUGAGCGAUGAAGUAUUUCGGUAUGUAAAGCUCUAUCAGCAGGGAAGAAAAUGACGGUACCUGACUAAGAAGCCCCGGCUAACUACGUGCCAGCAGCCGCGGUAAUACUUAGGGGGCAAGCGUUAUCCGGAUUUACUGGGUGUAAAGGGAGCGUAGACGGCAAUGCAAGCCAGAUGUGAAAGCCCGGGGCUCAACCCCGGGACUGCAUUUGGAAACUGAGCAGCUAGAGUGCAGGAGAGGUAAGUGGAAUUCCUAGUGUAGCGGUGAAAUGCGUAGAUAUUAGGAGGAACACCAGUGGCGAAGGCGGCUUACUGGACUGUAACUGACGUUGAGGCUCGAAAGCGUGGGGAGCAAACAGGAUUAGAUACCCCAGUA